Molecule: ribosomal RNA, 471 nt
Filed under: uncultured bacterium
Lineage: Bacteria
Description: bacterial SSU rRNA
Rfam family: Bacterial small subunit ribosomal RNA
Source: RNAcentral
ACGAACGUUGGCGGCGUGGAUUAGGCAUGCAAGUCGAGCGAACUUCGUGGGGGCAACUCUGCGGAGUGAGCGGCGAAAGGGGCAGUAAGGCGUGGGCAACGUACCCCUCGGAUCGGGACAGCCGCGGGAAACUGCGGGUAAUACCGGGUAACGUGGACUGGGGGCAUCUCCGGUCCAUCAGAGGUCCGCCGCCGGGGGAGCGGCUCACGUGGUAUUAGCUAGUUGGUAGGGUAAUGGCCUACCAAGGCUUAGAUGCCUAGCUGGUGUGAGAGCACGACCAGCGCCACUGGCACUGAGACACUGGCCAGACACCUACGGGUGGCUGCAGUCGAGGAUUUUCGGCAAUGGGCGCAAGCCUGACCGAGCGACGCCGCGUGCGGGAUGAAGGCCUUCGGGUUGUAAACCGCUGUCGAGGGGGAGGAAAGCCGUAAGGUUUGACCUAUCCCUGGAGGAAGCACGGGCUAAGUUCGU